This 45-nucleotide small nucleolar RNA is filed under the name Trypanosoma cruzi. RNAcentral's name for it is "H/ACA snoRNA, TC10C1H1". Lineage: Eukaryota; Euglenozoa; Kinetoplastea; Trypanosomatida; Trypanosomatidae. The record is from RNAcentral.
CAUCCCCUUUAAUAGCGAGCGGACCCUCAGUGCUCACCGCGAGCC